CGGGACGGGGUGGAGUAAUGUCUGGGAAACGUGCCUGAUGAGGGGGGAUAACUACUGGAAACGGUAGCUAAUACCGCAUAACGUCGCAAGACCAAAGAGGGGGACCUUAGGGCCUCUUGCCAUCGGAUGUGCCCAGAUGGGAUUAGCUAGUAGGUGGGGUAACGGCUCACCUAGGCGACGAUCCCUAGCUGGUCUGAGAGGAUGACCAGCCACACUGGAACUGAGACACGGUCCAG
This 236-nucleotide ribosomal RNA is filed under the name uncultured bacterium. Its description in RNAcentral is "partial 16S ribosomal RNA". It matches the Rfam family "Bacterial small subunit ribosomal RNA", at positions 104 to 334 of the family's 1533-position model. The record is from RNAcentral.